CAGCAGCCGCGGUAAUACGAAGGGGGCUAGCGUUGUUCGGAUUUACUGGGCGUAAAGCGCACGUAGGCGGAUCGAUCAGUCAGGGGUGAAACCCCAGAGCUCAACUCUGGAACUGCCUUUGAUACUGUCGAUCUGGAGUAUGGAAGAGGUGAGUGGAAUUCCGAGUGUAGAGGUGAAAUUCGUAGAUAUUCGGAGGAACACCAGUGGCGAAGGCGGCUCACUGGUCCAUUACUGACGCUGAGGUGCGAAAGCGUGGGGAGCAAACAGGAUUAGAGACCCGCGUAGUCCCUGUCUCUUAUAC
This 301-nucleotide ribosomal RNA is filed under the name uncultured bacterium. Its description in RNAcentral is "partial 16S ribosomal RNA". It matches the Rfam family "Bacterial small subunit ribosomal RNA", at positions 509 to 807 of the family's 1533-position model. The record is from RNAcentral.